UACAGAGGGUGCGAGCGUUGUUCGGAAUUACUGGGCGUAAAGCGCGCGCAGGCGGCCUUUUAAGUCUACCCGUGAAAUGCCGGAGCUCAACUCCGUGCACGCCGGGGGAUACUGGGAGGCUGGAGACAGGUAGAGGCAAGCGGAAUUCCGGGUGUAGCGGUGGAAUGCGUAGAUAUCAGGAGGAACACCAAUAGCGAAGGCAGCUCGCUGGGACGUUACUGACACUGAGGCGCGAAAGCGUGGGGAGCGAACAGG
RNAcentral lists this ribosomal RNA (255 nucleotides) under uncultured bacterium. RNAcentral's name for it is "partial 16S ribosomal RNA". It matches the Rfam family "Bacterial small subunit ribosomal RNA", at positions 524 to 776 of the family's 1533-position model. The record is from RNAcentral.